UGGGGAAUAUUGCACAAUGGGGGAAACCCUGAUGCAGCGACGCCGCGUGAGCGAAGAAGGUUUUCGAAUCGUAAAGCUCUGUCCUAUGGGAAGAUAAUGACGGUACCAUAGGAGGAAGCCCCGGCUAACUACGUGCCAGCAGCCGCGGUAAUACGUAGGGGGCAAGCGUUGUCCGGAAUCACUGGGCGUAAAGGGUUCGCAGGCGGAAAUGCAAGUCAGUUGUGAAAGGCCGAGGCUCAACCUCUGUAAGCAAUUGAAACUGUAUUUCUUGAGAUGUGGAGAGGCAAGUGGAAUUCCUAGUGUAGCGGUGAAAUGCGUAGAUAUUAGGAAGAAUACCGGUGGCGAAGGCGACUUGCUGGACACAAACUGACGCUGAGGAACGAAAGCGUGGGUAGCAAACAGG
RNAcentral lists this ribosomal RNA (403 nucleotides) under Fusobacteriota bacterium. Its description in RNAcentral is "Fusobacteria bacterium partial 16S ribosomal RNA". It matches the Rfam family "Bacterial small subunit ribosomal RNA", at positions 355 to 776 of the family's 1533-position model. Lineage: Bacteria; Fusobacteriati; Fusobacteriota. The record is from RNAcentral.